This 2918-nucleotide ribosomal RNA is filed under the name Acinetobacter baumannii. RNAcentral describes it as "bacterial LSU rRNA". It matches the Rfam family "Bacterial large subunit ribosomal RNA". Lineage: Bacteria; Pseudomonadati; Pseudomonadota; Gammaproteobacteria; Moraxellales; Moraxellaceae. The record is from RNAcentral.
GUUGUAUAGUCAAGUAAUUAAGUGCAUGUGGUGGAUGCCUUGGCAGUCAGAGGCGAUGAAAGACGUGAUAGCCUGCGAAAAGCUCCGGGGAGGCGGCAAAUAUCCUUUGAUCCGGAGAUGUCUGAAUGGGGGAACCCACCUACUUUAAGGUAGGUAUUGCAACAUGAAUACAUAGUGUUGCAAGGCGAACGAGGGGAAGUGAAACAUCUCAGUACCCUUAGGAAAAGAAAUCAAUUGAGAUUCCCUCAGUAGCGGCGAGCGAACGGGGAUCAGCCCAUUAAGUUAUGUGUGUUUUAGUGGAACGCUCUGGGAAGUGCGAACGUAGAGGGUGAUAUUCCCGUACACGAAAGGGCACACAUAAUGAUGACGAGUAGGGCGAGGCACGUGAAACCUUGUCUGAAUAUGGGGGGACCAUCCUCCAAGGCUAAAUACUCCUGACUGACCGAUAGUGAACCAGUACCGUGAGGGAAAGGCGAAAAGAACCCCUGUGAGGGGAGUGAAAUAGAUCCUGAAACCGCAUGCAUACAAGCAGUGGGAGCACCUUCGUGGUGUGACUGCGUACCUUUUGUAUAAUGGGUCAGCGACUUAUAUUCAGUAGCGAGGUUAACCGUAUAGGGGAGCCGUAGAGAAAUCGAGUCUUAAUAGGGCGUUUAGUUGCUGGGUAUAGACCCGAAACCAGGCGAUCUAUCCAUGAGCAGGUUGAAGGUUGGGUAACACUAACUGGAGGACCGAACCCACUGUCGUUGAAAAGCCAGGGGAUGACUUGUGGAUAGGGGUGAAAGGCUAAUCAAGCCUGGUGAUAGCUGGUUCUCCCCGAAAGCUAUUUAGGUAGCGCCUCGGACGAAUACCAUAGGGGGUAGAGCACUGUUUCGGCUAGGGGGUCAUCCCGACUUACCAAACCGAUGCAAACUCCGAAUACCUAUGAGUACUAUCCGGGAGACAGACUGCGGGUGCUAACGUCCGUAGUCAAGAGGAAAACAAUCCAGACCGCCAGCUAAGGCCCCAAAAUCAUAGUUAAGUGGGAAACGAUGUGGGAAGGCAUAGACAGCUAGGAGGUUGGCUUAGAAGCAGCCACCCUUUAAAGAAAGCGUAAUAGCUCACUAGUCGAGUCGGCCUGCGCGGAAGAUGUAACGGGGCUAAAACUAUGUGCCGAAGCUGCGGAUGUAUACUUUGUAUACGUGGUAGGGGAGCGUUCUGUAAGCCGAUGAAGGUGUGUUGAGAAGCAUGCUGGAGGUAUCAGAAGUGCGAAUGCUGACGUGAGUAACGACAAAACGGGUGAAAAACCCGUUCGCCGAAAGACCAAGGGUUCCAGUCCAACGUUAAUCGGGGCUGGGUGAGUCGACCCCUAAGGCGAGGCCGAAAGGCGUAGUCGAUGGGAAAAUGGUUAAUAUUCCAUUACUUCUGUGUAAUGCGAUGAGAGGACGGAGAAGGCUAAAUCAGCCUGGCGUUGGUUGUCCAGGUGAAAGGAUGUAGGCAUGUAUCUUAGGCAAAUCCGGGGUACUCUAUGCUGAGAUCUGAUAGCAAGCUGUACUUGUACAGCGAAGUGGUUGAUGCCAUGCUUCCAGGAAAAGUCUCUAAGCUUCAGUUACACAGGAAUCGUACCCGAAACCGACACAGGUGGUCAGGUCGAGUAGACCAAGGCGCUUGAGAGAACUCUGCUGAAGGAACUAGGCAAAAUGGUACCGUAACUUCGGGAGAAGGUACGCUGUUGUUGGUGAUGGAACUCGCUUCCUGAGCUGACGACAGCCGCAGAAACCAGGCCGCUGCAACUGUUUAUUAAAAACAUAGCACUCUGCAAACACGAAAGUGGACGUAUAGGGUGUGAUGCCUGCCCGGUGCUGGAAGGUUAAUUGAUGGGGUUAGCGUAAGCGAAGCUCUUGAUCGAAGCCCCAGUAAACGGCGGCCGUAACUAUAACGGUCCUAAGGUAGCGAAAUUCCUUGUCGGGUAAGUUCCGACCUGCACGAAUGGCAUAAUGAUGGCGGCGCUGUCUCCAGCAGAGGCUCAGUGAAAUCGAAAUCGCUGUGAAGAUGCAGUGUACCCGCGGCUAGACGGAAAGACCCCGUGAACCUUUACUGCAGCUUGACACUGAACUUUGACCUUACUUGUGUAGGAUAGGUGGGAGGCUUUGAAGCUGGAACGCUAGUUCCAGUGGAGCCGUCCUUGAAAUACCACCCUGGUAAUGUUGAGGUUCUAACUCUGUCCCGUGAUCCGGGACGAGGACCGUGUCUGGUGGGUAGUUUGACUGGGGCGGUCUCCUCCUAAAGAGUAACGGAGGAGUACGAAGGUGCGCUCAGCGUGGUCGGAAAUCACGCGUAGAGUAUAAAGGCAAAAGCGCGCUUAACUGCGAGACCCACAAGUCGAGCAGGUACGAAAGUAGGUCUUAGUGAUCCGGUGGUUCUGUAUGGAAGGGCCAUCGCUCAACGGAUAAAAGGUACUCUGGGGAUAACAGGCUGAUACCGCCCAAGAGUUCAUAUCGACGGCGGUGUUUGGCACCUCGAUGUCGGCUCAUCUCAUCCUGGGGCUGAAGCAGGUCCCAAGGGUAUGGCUGUUCGCCAUUUAAAGAGGUACGCGAGCUGGGUUUAGAACGUCGUGAGACAGUUCGGUCCCUAUCUACCGUGGGCGCUGGAAAUUUGAGAGGAUCUGCUCCUAGUACGAGAGGACCAGAGUGGACGAACCUCUGGUGUACCGGUUGUGACGCCAGUCGCAUCGCCGGGUAGCUAUGUUCGGAAGGGAUAACCGCUGAAAGCAUCUCAGCGGGAAGCCUACCUCAAGCUAAGCUUUCCCUAGGACUUUCUGUCCUCUACAGAGCCGUUCGAGACUAGGACGUUGCUAGGUAGGUUGUGAAAGCAUAGUGAUAUGUGAAGCUGACCAAUACUAAUUGCUCGUGAGGCUUGACUAUACAACACCCAAGCAGUUG